Cynoglossus semilaevis (tongue sole) is the source of this 2682-nucleotide long non-coding RNA. RefSeq lists it as uncharacterized. The transcript is spliced from 7 exons. The record is from RefSeq and is a predicted model, not a curated record. Lineage: Eukaryota; Metazoa; Chordata; Actinopteri; Pleuronectiformes; Cynoglossidae.
UGUGUUUGCUGAAGAGAUUAAACUGCUGGCAGGGUUUUUGAAACUCAAUGCCAAAGUUGUAAUCCUUUAAAUCCUUUAAUUUGACUGAACAUCCAUUAGUUCACCUUAAUUAAUUUGCAAGACAAGCUUUUCACAGUGAAGUGUAAAUUUAUGACAUGAAAGUUUGACCCCACCCUCCUCAUAACUGGAGGGGUUUUUAAUUUAACAGUAAAUCUAUACCACACCUUUCUGAAACCACAACCUGACACAUGUUUCAUGCUUGAUGUGCUGUGAAAUAAAAUACAAACCCAGCUGUCAACCCGUCUGUGUAUUUUGCUAGAGCACGUUCCUUUUACGUCAUGUUUACACAACUUUUAAUCAGAGGUAAGCCCCAGAGAACUGGGAAAUCUUUAAACUUGUAGUUUUCCAUGGAGAGCUCACCUGUGGCCCAUGUAUUAUAGCGCGAAUUUGUUUUUUAUUUUUUAUGACCAUAAGACAUGCAGUAUAUACGUAUUUUGUUAUUUUUAUUUGUUUUAUCUGGUCGUAGACAUAUGUGGACAGGCACUUGAAGGGCACCUAAUUGGGUCUUCUUCUUCAGUUGACCAAAUGAGCUUGUGUUACAUUUAAUGCCACCUGUAUUUCUGUUUCCAGAGAUACUCAUUGCAUAUUUAUUGAAAUCCAACCUGAAGAAAUAUCGUAACUGCUGCCCACCAGACUCCCCCUCGGUGCUUGUUGCUCAAGAUGAUUUAAGAACUCCGGAAACACACAAGUGAGCGCAGCAGCUUGGGGGGAGGAUGACUGAUGGCUUGUUGUCAUGAUGUUUGGGAUUGUGCCGACUCCAAGCCUCUUGGCUCAGUGAAGCUGCGAAGUGCUGCAGAACAUACUGGAGGCUAUUGUCGAGGAGUCCUCAUAUUAGCAAGAUUUCAUACCAUUCAACAAUAAAGCAAGGGCAAUCGUUAGACCUGCACGCCACGCGUGGAUGGAUCUUUUGUUUUUGUCCCGGUAUUCCCUAGAUCGUGUGUGGGCUGCGUGUACACCCAGGUAGAUCCGACUUCUAACAUCACUAUUUUUCAAAAAUGUCAAUAUUUGAAAAACGCUGACACGCUCCAUCAAUCAAACAGAUAGCCAUCUUUCAACCGGUCAAUGUGCCACACUUGAAUAUCUGUUUCUGCUCCUUCUCCAGGCUCUGCUUUGACCCUCUCUCUGCAGCAGUCCCCCCCCCUCCUCCUGCUGCUGCCCCCUCCCUUGUCCCUCAGUCAUGUUACAGAUCUCUCAUGAUGCCACAUUAAUGAUUGCAGCUAAAUGUAAAAGUCCUCCCCUCCUGGAACUGCAUUAAAGGCGCUGACCUCCGGCGCCUGCUGGUGGUGGUGACAGUCGUCUGUCAGCGCUGGUUAAUUCCCAGUCCUGUGAGGGUCAGACGUUGACACAUAAUGAGGCUUGACAGUCUUGGAGAGUUAGACAAGGGUCUGGUGUCAACGCCGACCGCAGCCGGACGAGGGGCUCAGUUCAAACGGUGGAAGGUGUGGAGCAGUGAUGUGGAACAACACCUCAGAUGUGCUAAUCAAACAUAUGGCACUUCCGGGAACAAACAGGGGCCGUCCUACAAGAUUAACAAAAAAAAAAACAAAAGUCUCUGCUGAAAGCCAUUACAGAAAUACAAUUUCUAAUACCUCCGCACAGGUCUUCGAUCGACUGCAAACAAAUUUAUAUUCAGGCGGUAAACAGAAAGCUGCAGAGAUUUAUUUAUUGAGUGUGGAGGAGAGAAACAAGGCAGCGUGUGAACCCUGAGUAACCUCCGAGCUGACAUGAAGAUGGAUCAGUGCGCCAUGCAAAUGCAUGGAGAGAAGGGAUAUAUUGCACUCAGUCAUUCAGCACAUCGCUGCCUGUAGAAUCCCAUUAACUCCCACAGCUGGGACCAUAUUUCUGUGUUGUAAGAAUGCAGUUAGAAGUUGUUCAUUACGCUGAAUUAUAUUGUAAUUACUGCAGACUUAAAAGACGCAGCAGACGACAAUGUUUAAAAAAAAGAAAAUAGGAAAAAAGAUAAGCGCAGUAACGCGUUGGAAGGAUGUGUUUAAUAAGAAAAUGCGCAGGGUUCCUACCUGAUAAAGACAAUAAUAAUUACCGUAAUAACGAUAAUAAUGGUGUUAAUAACAAUAACGCAACGCCAUGUGUGCUGAUAUAUUAAAAAUAAAUUAUAUUGUUAUAUAUUAUUGUAGAAAAAUACAUGUAUGAAAUGCUGAAAAAUAACAUUUAAAAAAUAUAAAUAUUUUUGUGGAGUGUGUUAUACCCACCACUAAAAUAUCUGUUAUAAUUCCGUUAAUCCAACCUCAGGGAUUACAUUUGUCCCGGAUUAAUUACUUAAGCCCCAUAAUUAGAAACCAUUUCAAAGGUAUUUUAAAACCGAAAUAAUAAUGAAUAAAAACUGUGUCGUGUGAAUGCACCGUCACAUGGGAUGACGUGUGAAUCAGCUGAUGUCGGUUCUUGCAGACCAGCGUUACGGUCAUUGAAGGUCAGACUCAGUGUUCGUGUGUGUGUGUGUGCACGUGAGCCAUGUUGGAGUUGAUGUAAAACAUCAGACACUAUGUAAAACCAACAAGAUGUAGAAGAACCCGAUUUGACUAAAGGUGAUAGUUAUUUAUUAUCGUAAAAUUACAUUUAUUUAGUAAUUAGUUUUUUGUCUUUUUGAAAGAAAUAAAAAACUAU